GCAAUCGACCAUAGGACGUGUAUAAACAGGGCUUCCCGUCCGCUCAGCCAUACUUAAACCACGUGCCGUUCAGUCAGUACUACCGUGGGUGACCAGGUGGGAAUCCUGAAUUUUGAUUGUU
This is a ribosomal RNA of Exophiala oligosperma, 121 nucleotides long. Lineage: Eukaryota; Fungi; Ascomycota; Eurotiomycetes; Chaetothyriales; Herpotrichiellaceae. The record is from Rfam.